UCCCGGCAGAGGACGAACGCUGGCGGCGUGCUUAACACUUGCAAGUCGAACGGGGAUAUGCGAGCGGAAGGCUUCGGCCGGAAGGUUGCAUAUUCGAGUGGCGGACGGGUGAGUAACGCGUGAACAAUCUGUCCCAGACAGGGGGAUAACACUUGGAAACAGGUGCUAAUACCGCAUAAGACCACGGAGUCGCAUGGCACUGGGGUAAAAGGAGCAAUCCGGUUUGGGGUGAGUUCGCGUCCGAUUAGCCAGUUGGUGAGGUAACGGCCCACCAAAGCGACGAUCGGUAGCCGACCUGAGAGGGUGAUCGGCCACAUUGGAACUGAGAGACGGUCCAAACUCCUACGGGAGGCAGCAGUGGGGUAUAUUGGGCAAUGGGCGAAAGCCUGACCCAAGGC
Molecule: ribosomal RNA, 398 nt
Filed under: uncultured bacterium
Lineage: Bacteria
Description: bacterial SSU rRNA
Rfam family: Bacterial small subunit ribosomal RNA
Source: RNAcentral